UUUCCAGAUAAGAACACAGCUGGAGUGCUUUAUAAUUCUGGCCUUGUGCAAGCAUAAACGGAGAAUGCAGCCAAGUCCACCUGGCCUUAUGAUCCAUGGAACUGGAAAACAAUGAAGAAAAGGGAAUUUGGACACACAGAGUGAUGCCAGGGAUGCACACGCACAGAGGAUGGACCGUGUUGGGGACACGGCAAGAUGGCCUGCCAAGGAAGAGAGAAGGAGAAACCAAAGCUGUCAACACCUUGAUGUGGGACUUCUAGCUUCCACAACCGUGAGAAAAUAAAUUUAUGUUGUUUGAAU
Molecule: non-coding RNA, 300 nt
Organism: Callorhinus ursinus (northern fur seal)
Lineage: Eukaryota; Metazoa; Chordata; Mammalia; Carnivora; Otariidae
Source: RefSeq, a predicted model, not a curated record